Macaca mulatta (Rhesus monkey) is the source of this 8184-nucleotide non-coding RNA. NCBI's taxonomy places the organism in Eukaryota, Metazoa, Chordata, Mammalia, Primates, Cercopithecidae. The record is from RefSeq and is a predicted model, not a curated record.
GGCUGCUUCUUAUUUAACUGGAGCCAAGGACUCACUCAGAAGUUCCAGGGCUAAGCGAUCCCUUGGCCUGCCUCACACUGACCUUGAGCUGCAGCAUUUACCCAGCCUCUUGUGAGUGAACUCCAGCAGUGAGCUGCUAUUCAUCACAUCCUGUGGUAACAUCCCCUGCGUCCCUCUUCCAUUUCCUUUUCUCUGGAGACACUAGUGCCUGUGCUGUUUCAGGUAAUGGACACUCAAAUGCCUCUUUUAGACUCUGAAAAUCGGAUGGGGCAACCCCUCACCUCUGAGGCUUAGUGGGCUGUUAUUUUAUAAAUAACAUGUUUGUAUAAAUGAUUAGUGCUUUAUAUUAUAUUCCACCUUGGGUGAAAAAUAGACUUUGCUUUAAAAAAAAAAUCCUUCUGACUAUACUUCCUCUUAGAGUUCUAAACUCUGCACUUUUCAAAAGAGUCUGUACUUUUGGGCCUAGCAAGCAGAAAGAGGGGAGUGUCUCUUGAUCUGGGGACAAACAUUUCCCUAAAAUUCUCCUGGUAGAAAAAGAACUCGAAAUAGAAGUGAAAGUGAGUUGCCGAAAAAUAAGAAAAGUUAUAUUUCUUGCCCUUCUGAGUUUGUGAACUCACUGGCUACCUGCUUGAUAUUGAACUAGAUAUAUGGUGGAUAUGUGCAGAUUAGAGCUAUUAAACUAGAGUAUAGAGAGAACAGACUCACCAAGAUGAAAAAGUAAAAUCAUUGAAGGGGUUGGAAGGUCAACAUAAUAACACAUAAAACAGAUUUUCAUCUGGAAAAGGGACAUCUCUAGAGACUGUUCAUACAAGGGGGCUUAUUCAAAGAGAAAGGACAGUCAGCUCUUUUCUCAGCAAGCAAGAAGGCUGGGCUAAAAUUUCAGCAAGCAUGAUUAUGAGUCUGUUUUAGGGGAUACUUUCAGGUUAUAAAUUAAAUGUAGCUCUCCGUGGUGUAGAAAAGCUUGGAAAAAGUCUUUUCUGACAACCCCAGUGGGAGAUUCAGGACAUGAUUAUUCUGAUGAAAGGCACAGAUCCGGCCAGAUGUCUCUGAGUAGUUUUUCUUUUCUUUUCUCUUUUUCCUGCCUAAUGAUCUAGGAAUAUGCCUACAAUUUUGAUACUAUGGGAGAGGAAUUCCAAUGCUGGGUCUGCAACUAAUUGGCUCUGAGCAAGAUUCUUAUUCACUCUCACCUCCAUGCCUCAUGUAUAAGUAAGGGUGACAGCAUGUCAUACAUAUAAAUCCGUAAACACCAUGGUGAUGAGUGAGGUGGAGAGUCUAAGAAUAGUCUGAUAUCAAAUACAGGAAUGUGAGGAAAAAAGAAAGUUCUACUUUCAAGGAAAUUUGCUACACAAUUUGAACAGAAUCUGAUAAACACCAAAGUACAUAUUAUAGAUAAAAUAAGCAUUUCUUUUUAAGUUACUAAAUGUCAUGCGCUUUAUAUAAGCUAACAGAAAACAUAAUUCAAUAAUCAUUUAAAUGUAGUCUGCGUCUUAAAAAUAAUUUGGUGAUCACUGGUCUCGUGUUGAGACAGGAGCCAGGAUAAUAAUUACUUAGACUUUUUUGUAUUUGUGGGGCACAUGCCGAAAGUUGUUUAUACAUUAAAACUAUAAUUAAGCUUUUACAUUAAUGAAGCAGUAAUUAAAACUUUGGAACUGCCCCAGGUGUUUCUGUGGCUAAUGUAAGCUCAUGUUUGAUCUUAUUUUUCUCUCCGCGGCAGUCACAAGGCUUAAGGAUAUGGGAUGAGGGUUUAAAAGAAAAUAUAAACAAUUUUAAAAACAGCUACAACUUCGGAAGCUAUGGAAAGCUUAUCUUCCCUGUUUUCCUGAGUCUUUGAUGAUUAAUACAUUUAGAGCCAAAUUUAAGGGCAUCGCUCUAGUCCUACUGAAUCAGAAUCUUUGAGGUUAACUUCGCACAUCUGUGUUUUGUUAAUCUCCACCAAUGACAAUGAUGGGCAGCCAAUGUCAAAACCCACUGAUUUUAAAUAAUAUAGUGUGAUGUAAGGGGCAUUACUGUGAGCUCUGCACUAUUCUAGGUCCUGGAGAGACAAUGAUUAUCAGAGCAGACAGGGCUCUGCUCUCCUGAAGCUUUAGAGACACAUGAUGAGCAGGUGAGCAACAACUGACCUGGCUGUGAUAGCGCGAACAGGGCAAUGUGAUGGAGUGACUGGAGACAGGCUUUGUCACCGUGCAAGACCAACAAUGGUCCGAGAAGUUGCAGAAAGCCUCUCUAAGAUGGGUCAGUACACUCGGCCUUAAGAAGGAGUUGCUAUGUGACAUUCCAGAAUAAAACAGAUUUCCAGGGAGCCGUAACAGCUCGGUCAGAUGCCCUAAGGGUAAAACCUGCUUGGUACAUCAAAGGAUCAAAAAGAUGCCUGUUGACUGGAGCAAGACAACAAUGCAAUUUGUUCAGUACCAUCAGAGAAUUUCAUCACCCGCAGCAGUUUGGUGGCCUGUGAAGUUCUGCCAUCACAGAGAGAGCACCAAAGGCAAUAAUUCACAGAAAAGCUGCUUGGGACUUUUGCAACCAUUCUUCAGUCCACUGGUUCUCAGCUAUUUUUCCACCCCGAUAUUCCUGAGGACUAUGGCACACCUAUGAGGAACAGUGACUCCGUGUGACAGGAACAGACACACCCACACCCCACCCUACCCAGAAAGCAUAUCAGAAGAGGGAAAAGGAAAGGAUGAGGGAAAGGAAAGGGGAAUAUAAACAUAAGCAGUUUGAACAAAAAAGUUCCUAAGUCCUUCUGCUAUACCCUAUCAGGACAGGUCUUAGCCACAGCUUCCAUUCCCCCAACUUGAAAAUCAAGUAUCAUUUAAGUGGAUGGCUUUCAGAGUUAGAGGGGCCUGAACCUAGUCCUAGCAACACAAUUAUCAGUGGAGUGAUCUCAGUCAUCACAUUUAGCUUCUCUAAGCUUCACUUUCCUCAUCUGCAAAACAGAGAAGAUAAUAGUAACUAUCUCAAACAGCUACUUGGAGGAUUAAAUGAGACUAAAUUGUAUAAACCGUUGGGCACAAUGUUUAACACAUGAGGAUAAUAAAUAGAUGUGAACAAUGAUUAUUAACAACCAGCCCUUAUAAUUAAAUGUUUGCUAAGGAGGACACGGAUGCUAAUCAAACCUUCCAAGAAAUCAGGUGGGACACUUGUGAUAGAUCCAACUGUCAUUGGGCUUUAUCAACAAAGUAUAUGUGCAAGUCAGGUGCAGAUGUGAGAGAGGUGAGUCCAUGCGGGUCAGUGCAGACUCAGGCCCGCCACCAAAGCCGACCAUACGCAGCAAAGUGCUUGGUUGGUAUUUGGAACCACGACUAAUGUUCCCUUUUCUUUCUGGGUUCUUAUUAAUUCAGAAAAGGGGGCUCAGCCCUAGUUGGAAAGUCAACACAGGGAACAAAAAACUGAUGCUGAUUUUCUUAGGAGUUAAGAUGGGGCUCUCUGUUAAGGGUCUACUUCCUGCCCCAGGACUUGCUGGCAGAUAAAAUCAAGGGCUCUCUGGCAACAGCACAUCCCCUGGUGGCCAGAUGAUGUCACUGCAAGUUUUUCUCCAUUAAAAGAACAGAGUAUGAAUGAGUCACAUCACAGCUGCAAUUUUAUUUCUCCUACCCGGGAUAGACUAUGUUCUAAGCUACCAGCAAGUACAUUCUGGGAUCCUGCUGAGGCAACACCAGAUUAAAAAAAAAGUUUUUUAUGUUGUUCUCAAAACUCUGAUUGCUGCAGAUUGAACCCAAAGAACUUUAUUCUGCUCAGGUCAGCCGGGUUCUGAAACUCUUGGCAUUAAAAGCAGGUGUCAGUAUGGCUGGGUGACAAUCAUAAACCUACAGUUAAAUGUCUGGUGUCCUGAGUGCCAGGCUCAUCAGGAAAACAAAAAUUUCCACUUGUAGUCAAAGCCAACCUCAGCCCCUCCCACUAUUCUCCUACAACAAAGGCCCUAAGGGAACAGUGAGGAGAGAACAUGGUUUUCUUUCCCCGGGCAUCUACAGAAGCUAUCACGAAAGCUGAUAUGUCAGGGUCCUUCAUUCAUAAUUUUGUUCAAAUCUUUUGAUUCUACUUAGAUUAUGUUUUAGAAUAGCAAGGUCCAUAUGCUAUCAUACAGUAUGAAUACUGGCUCUUUUUAAUUUCUUCUUGAACUUACCUUGUUAAAAAUAAUAAUAGCUCGUAAUGACAAGGUAUGUCAGUGCCCAAUGAACAGAAGGGAGGGGGAGAAAAAACAGAGGUAUCUGGAGGCCACUGAGGACAGGGAGACAUUCCACAGUUGUUCACUUCUUCCUUCGCUCCCAGCUCUCUCUCCUCAGAUGAUAGGGAGGUAAACAUGCUUAGAGUUCAUUUGGUACACUCAGAAUAUCUGCACCCUUUUUCUCUAUUUUGAUGAACUAUAUGCCAGGAUAGCCAGCCAAGUAGAAAACACUGCUGUUCUUGCACAUCUACAAUGCCGCACAUGAAACAUUACACAAUGGGUAGGUUUCUCUGCACUGUUUCAGUUAGAAGAAAGAACACAAUUCACCCAAUUUUAAAUACAUCGUUAUCCCUUCACCAUUUCUUUUCAAAAUCAAAGAAAAGGAAUUAAGUCCAUAUUUUGAUGGGAGCUGGGAAAAAAAAAACACAUUUGGCCUCUCUCUUCUUCAUUUAGAAAAGGAAAAGUUUCUUCCUUUCACAGAAACACAUCAAGCAAGUGGACAAUGAGCAACACACAGGUGCAAAAGCCAAAGGACAAUUUGUUCUUCUGCAAAAUCAUCCACCAGGAAAUAAGGCUAAGAGUAUUACUGAGAAUAAAGAAAACAUGGCUGGAACAAAAUAAACAACAACACAACUCCACAGCAAGAAAAGAAAACCCAAGAUCAGCAAGGAAUGAUUCAGUGUAAGAGAGAAAUGUUAACUGUAGUUAUGAGGACAAGUCAAUUUAAAAUCAUAUUAAGAUUCCACAUAAUGUUAUAUGAUAUACAAAUCACUAUAGUCAAUAUAUAGAGUGAAGACAAGACAACCUUAUUGCUAUUGCAAUAAUGGUGCCAUUGUUUCCUUAAUGUGGCAACAGAGAAUGAUAUAUUCAGUACAACAUACUCUAAAGCAGGGGUCCCCAAUCCCUGGGUUACAGACAGUCAGGAACUAGGCCAUGCAGCAGGAGGUAAGUGGUGGGCAAGCCAGCAAGGCUUCGUCUGUAUUUACAGUGGCUCCCCAUUGCUUGCAUUAUAGCCUGACCUCUGCCUCCUAUGGGAUCACUGGCAGCAUUUGAUUCUCAAAGGAGCACAAAUCCUAAUGUAAACUGCACAUCAAGGGAUCUAGGUUGUUCGCUCCCUAUGACAAUCUAAUGCCUGAUGAUGUCACUGGCUUCCAUCACCCUCAGAUGAGACCAUCUAGAUGCAGAAAAACAAGCUCAGGACUCCCACUGACUCUACAUUUUGGUGAGUGGUAUAAUUAUUUCAUUAUACAUUACACUAUAAUAAUAAUAGAAAUAAAGUGCACAAUAAAUACAAUGUGCUUGAAUCAUCCCAAAACCAUCCCCCGACCUUGGUCUGUGGAAAACCUGUCUUCCACAAAACUAGUCCCUGGUGUCCAAAAGGUUGGAGACUGCUGCUGUAAAGCCUGCUGGGACAGUUUUCAUGGCUCUGAGUCUCAUGGGUUCCUGUCAUCAGUUUGGUUAUUGCAGUGACUCCCGCAUGCCACUAACUUCAGUAGUGUUUUCAGAAAAAAAUAACCUAGAACCUAUGCAGAAAAUGGAGCACCAGGGACAACAGUCAGCUUCAUUUGAGGCUGGUCACAAAAUUGGGGUCAUAUUUUGAGAGUUCUACAAACUAAGACAGGCAUUCCUGCCAUUCACAAUGUCACAGCUGGUAGAAAUUCUUCAAAUUAUGAUCAAUAUAGUUCACAGGAACUAUUUCCAGUGGCACGUUUAGUUACUUGGAAGUUGUCUUCGGCCGUAGAAAGACACGGCAAAUGUCUUAGAAGCAGAUAGCUAUAUCUAUACUUCCUUCUAUCCUAACCACCAACACUCCAGUGUUGGCAGAGAAUUCUAGUAAAGAAAGGAAAGUGGAAGGAUGAGUUUUAGGAGUACCUAUAAUUUGACUUUCUGUGUCUCAACAUACCCUUUUUGGUUUUGUGUUUUGUCAAACCUAAGUUAUUAUUGCUAUUGCUUUUAUUUUAUAUUCUUCUCUGUGUGGUGCAUACUAACCAAACCUAAAAGCAAAAAUGGCUCAAUUUACUUCAAAUACUCCUGUAAAAUAAAAUCGAGUUCCUUCAAUAUCAGAUUUGGAACUACUUCAGAGUGAAAGGAAAUAACAAUGAGAAUAGUGAAAGGAGGCUCAUGGAAAAGUACCAGGCAGAGAGAGGUUGCCAACCUUUCCCCUUGUGAUGAACUAUCUUUUGACAACACCCACACAAUCAAAGGCAUCAGUGUUAAUCAUUCAGAAAAAUAAGUUAGGUUAAAAAAUAAAGUAAAUGGCAGAAUAGAAAAGGCUUUGUUUCCCUAGUGAAUAUUUAAAAAUGUUUCUUAUACACAUCUUAAAUUAGGUAUAUUGUAAAAGAGGCCAUAGGCAGAGUCCAAUUUCCACUGGCUUUUUGAAAUUCUUUGCUCCCAAAUCUGGUUAGAUGUAACACACUUUAUUUUACUUUGCAGUCAAAGUAUGAGUCAGAUUUUCAAACACUUCCACUUUAAAUACCUGUAUAUAAGUCACCUGUGUUCUUAUGACCCACACAAAUCCUGUAUUUGGAACAGUGUACAACUGAUCUCUACUGACUCUAUGAAGAAUUAAUUAGGCAAUAUGCCCAACCGGGGUUAUUAUUAUAAAAGAAUAUACUUAAGUGUUGCUUAGUUUCAUAUGGAAAUUCUUCUUCCAACUUCGGCAUAUUAUUUUAAAGCCUAAAUGCGAUUGGAAUCCAAGAAAGCUUAGGGCAGAGUUGAAAUCAAUUGAGAUGCCUUCUAUUUAUACCAAGAUAACCAGUCUUCUCAUGUCAGUCCCAACUGUAGGAAACAUCGUUAGCUAAAGCAUCUACCACAGCAGUUAAAAUUUCUUUGCCUCUAGCUUAAGCUAAUUCUCUGAAAGUAUUGCAAUGCUUUUGCCCAAGGCAAACUUAAAACUACCUUAAGGAACCUGCUAUCAGAAAGUCUUUCACAUAAGCUGACCUUAUUGGCAUAUGUGAAAUGAAGCAAAACAUGCCUAGGUCUGUAUUUGACCUCACUGAGCAACUGUCUCUCCAGUCCAGUGAAAAUCUUCUGAUCAUGGAAUGCCAUGCAUGCCGCUUUGAUAGGAGUCCUUUGAUGCAGUAUGUUUUCAAACUGCAGGUCACUACCCCAUUUAGUGGGUCACUAAGUCAACUCAGUGUGCUGUGAUCAUUUUUUACAUGAUAAAAUAAAGUAGACUAGAAGAGAGUAGAAAUUGUUUGGAGUGCAUAUGAUAAGAACAAGUAAUGUUUCAUAAAAUUGUGUUCAUUAUUUUAUAUGCACACACACAAGCAUCCACACACCAACACAACUCAAUGUGAUGUAAAACGUAUUUGUUACCCUGUGUCAAUUUUUGAGAAGUCUGAAAACCACUUCUAAGAAGGAUAUUUAAUUUUAUUGUUUCACAUAACAUCUAAAUGUUCACAUACUACCAAUCUAUUCUCUCUUUUCAAGAAGGUAAGGGUGGGAGUAAACAGGAUGGGUGCACCCACUUUUAGCUACACUAAGAACACAGCCGUGGGAGGAAGAAUCAACUCUUACUAGGUGAAGAAGACAGAUCCACUGAAGGAUAAAAAUGUGCCUUUCCACUUGGAUAACAAGCUGAUGACGUGGAUAUCUUAACAGAGGAGAGAAGCGCUGUAAAGUUUCCAUUUGAGUCAUUGAUUUUUUUCCAAAUAUGGUAACUGGUUCCAAAACCUAAGAAGCUGAAGGCUUUGGUAGAAUGUACUAAUUAAUAUAUGCUUGGCUAACUAUGAGAUACUCCCAUUCAAUAGGUGAUGCCAUAAAACCAGGGCCUCUUCUCAAUAGAAACUUCUAAGACAAGAUCUCUAUUAAUUAUUCUUAAAUGUAAACGCUCUCCCACUCUCCACCACACCCCCCCCAGCUAAUGCUGUGUUCCUUGACAUCAUGAAAAAAAAAAUCUGAGCUUAAUUUCCCAGUGUUUGAGAGGGUAGUUUAACUAAUAUCUUCUCUUUAAGGGGGGGAUUACAAAUAAAAGUGCAUCUGACACUUUCUGGAUUUAAAAUAAAACAAGAUUUCAUUUA